GUGUCAGCCGCCGCGGUAAUACGAAGGGGGCUAGCGUUGCUCGGAAUCACUGGGCGUAAAGGGCGCGUAGGCGGGUCUUUAAGUCAGGGGUGAAAUCCUGGAGCUCAACUCCAGAACUGCCCUUGAUACUGAGGAACUUGAGUUCGGGAGAGGUGAGUGGAACUGCGAGUGUAGAGGUGAAAUUCGUAGAUAUUCGCAAGAACACCAGUGGCGAAGGCGGCUCACUGGCCCGAUACUGACGCUGAGGCACGAAAGCGUGGGGAGCAAACAGGAUUAGAUACCCGUGUAGUCC
RNAcentral lists this ribosomal RNA (292 nucleotides) under uncultured Bradyrhizobium sp. RNAcentral describes it as "partial 16S ribosomal RNA". It matches the Rfam family "Bacterial small subunit ribosomal RNA", at positions 505 to 796 of the family's 1533-position model. Lineage: Bacteria; Pseudomonadati; Pseudomonadota; Alphaproteobacteria; Hyphomicrobiales; Nitrobacteraceae. The record is from RNAcentral.